CCUACGGGGGGCACCAGUGGGGAAUAUUGCACAAUGGGCGCAAGCCUGAUGCAGCCAUGCCGCGUGUAUGAAGAAGGCCUUCGGGUUGUAAAGUACUUUCAGCGGGGAGGAAGGCGAUAAGGUUAAUAACCACAGCAAUUGACGUUACCCGCAGAAGAAGCACCGGCUAACUCCGUGCCAGCAGCCGCGGUAAUACGGAGGGUGCAAGCGUUAAUCGGAAUUACUGGGCGUAAAGCGCACGCAGGCGGUCUGUCAAGUCGGAUGUGAAAUCCCCGGGCUCAACCUGGGAACUGCAUUCGAAACUGGCAGGCUAGAGUCUUGUAGAGGGGGGUAGAAUUCCAGGUGUAGCGGUGAAAUGCGUAGAGAUCUGGAGGAAUACCGGUGGCGAAGGCGGCCCCCUGGACAAAGACUGACGCUCAGGUGCGAAAGCGUGGGGAGCAAACAGGAUUAGAUACCCUUGUAGUC
This 465-nucleotide ribosomal RNA is filed under the name uncultured bacterium. RNAcentral's name for it is "bacterial SSU rRNA". It matches the Rfam family "Bacterial small subunit ribosomal RNA", at positions 338 to 795 of the family's 1533-position model. The record is from RNAcentral.